GGGGUAGGCGGCCCUUCAAGUCGGAUGUGAAAUUUCCUGGCUUAACUAACGGGAAAAGUCAUUCGAUACUGUUGGGCUAGAGUACAGCAGAGGGAGGUGGAAUUCCCGGUGCAGUGGUGAAAUGCGUAGAUAUCGGGAGGAACACCAGUGGCGAAAGCGGCCUCCUGGGCUGUCACUGACGCUGAGACCCGAAAGCGUGGGGAGCAAACAGGAUUAGAUACCCUGGUAGUCCACGCUGUAAACUAUGGAUACUAGGUAUAGGGAGUAUCGACCCUCUCUGUGCCGAAGCUAACGCUUUAAGUAUCCCGCCUGGGGACUACGGUCGCAAGACUAAA
RNAcentral lists this ribosomal RNA (335 nucleotides) under uncultured bacterium. RNAcentral's name for it is "bacterial SSU rRNA". It matches the Rfam family "Bacterial small subunit ribosomal RNA", at positions 568 to 898 of the family's 1533-position model. The record is from RNAcentral.